Molecule: ribosomal RNA, 467 nt
Filed under: uncultured bacterium
Lineage: Bacteria
Description: partial 16S ribosomal RNA
Rfam family: Bacterial small subunit ribosomal RNA
Source: RNAcentral
GACGAACGCUGGCGGCGUGCUUAACACAUGCAAGUCGAACGGAAAGGCCCUGCUUUUGUGGGGUGCUCGAGUGGCGAACGGGUGAGUAACACGUGAGUAACCUGCCCUUGACUUUGGGAUAACUUCAGGAAACUGGGGCUAAUACCGGAUAGGAGCUCCUGCUGCAUGGUGGGGGUUGGAAAGUUUCGGCGGUUGGGGAUGGACUCGCGGCUUAUCAGCUUGUUGGUGGGGUAGUGGCUUACCAAGGCUUUGACGGGUAGCCGGCCUGAGAGGGUGACCGGCCAAAUGGGGAAUGAGAUACGGCCCAGACCACUACGGGAGGGAGGAGGGGGGAAUAUUGAAAAAUGGGCGGAAGCCUGAUGCAGCAACGCCGGGUGGGGGAAGACGGCCUUCGGGUGGAAAACCGCUUUCGCCUGUGACGAAGGGUGAGGGACGGUAAUGGGUAAAGAAGCACCGGAAAAAUAAGG